Molecule: ribosomal RNA, 429 nt
Filed under: Actinomycetes bacterium
Lineage: Bacteria; Bacillati; Actinomycetota; Actinomycetes
Description: Actinobacteria bacterium partial 16S ribosomal RNA
Rfam family: Bacterial small subunit ribosomal RNA
Source: RNAcentral
UAGGGAAUCUUCCGCAAUGGGCGAAAGCUUGACGGAGCAACGCCGCGUGAGUGAUGAAGGUCUUCGGAUCGUAAAACUCUGUUAUUAGGGAAGAACAAAUGUGUAAGUAACUAUGCACGUCUUGACGGUACCUAAUCAGAAAGCCACGGCUAACUACGUGCCAGCAGCCGCGGUAAUACGUAGGUGGCAAGCGUUAUCCGGAAUUAUUGGGCGUAAAGCGCGCGUAGGCGGUUUUUUAAGUCUGAUGUGAAAGCCCACGGCUCAACCGUGGAGGGUCAUUGGAAACUGGAAAACUUGAGUGCAGAAGAGGAAAGUGGAAUUCCAUGUGUAGCGGUGAAAUGCGCAGAGAUAUGGAGGAACACCAGUGGCGAAGGCGACUUUCUGGUCUGUAACUGACACUGAUGUGCGAAAGCGUGGGGAUCAAACAGG